GUCGAAUUGUAACUGUCCAUGGCAUUUCUGACCGUCCUUUCCAGGCCAAAUGACAGACAGAAAGCCAGAGGGGACAGCACUGAAUCCAAAUGCUUUUGCAUUCUGGAUAUGCAUGUACAUGAGAAGUAAUGGACAUUCAAAAAGCCAGAUCCUGCUGAUUCCACAUUUCAAUGGCUUGGUUUGCCAACUCAUGCAUGGGUGCCUCUAAACACUAAUCAGUAAUCCAGUUCAUUGCUAAGGCUGCAGAGCUCCAGGAUCUCUUAUUUUCUCACAGGAAGCAAGGAUGCCUCCUGCCUACAUUUGGGUCUUGGAUUGACUCACUACAUCACAGGACUGCUGGGCUCCAGGAUGCGAAGAUCCAGCCACAACUGGCACCAGAGAACAAGAGAAGCUUCCUUUCCAUCUCUGGUGGCCUGCUCACCAAAGACCCUCUGGUCCCGUCAACUUGGUGUUAACUCUUGGGUGUAAAUGCCUUUGAGAAAAUACCCACUGCACCUCCUACAGUGAAUCCCACUGCUCACACAGGGUUUGUAUGAAGUCUGCCCUUUAUGGGCCAUCUACACAUCUCCUGUAUAAGAUACAGAAGGUGAGUCUACAGUCGUACAUAGGAAGAGCGACCUAGGAUUUAGUGGGCCAAAUACAACCACGAAACGUCGCCUGGCAGCCUGAUUCCACAAACGCUGUAACCUUCCUCCUCCCUCCUGUGGGGACUAGGAAAGAAAAGAGAAAGAGAGGCACAGCCUCUGGUCUCGGAGAGACUUCCGGAAGUGCUUCCUCCCUUCUUUCUCUGGAGCUCCAGCUGCAGGACCACCGUGAGGAAGCUGUCACCGCCGCUAAGGCUGGCUGCCCUCUCUGGGAGUUGCACUUCCUUCCUCCGGUCCCUAAUCUGAGGACUGCUGGAUUGCAGACUUGGCAAGUCCAGUGUGUACCUACUGUUACCCCACUGGAGUCCUGAUGUGGCGGGAGGCCUGGUGGAAGGGACAGGGGGUAUUUUCCCUUUUAAUUUAUUCAAUGUUUUGUCUUAAAAACAGAGGGAGGGUAGGCAGCGAUCUUACCUGUUAUUAACUUUCCACCCCCGCUGCCAUCCCCUUAGCUAGAAGAGCCACUGGUUUUUAUUUUUGUUUUUAUCUUAAUGACCUUUCCUACUUCCCCUCCCCUACACUGUUUGAAACCCCGCUGUGGGGUUUGACUGACCCGACCUAGGGUGCUGCCCUCACGUGGACGCCGGCCCUGGGCGUGUCGCGUGUGCGCGGGGACGGCUGUGCGCGCGUCUCUGGACGAGACCAAUUUCUCCAUCGCGCAGCCAUCCCCGCGGACGACGUUUGAAAGGCGGACUGAGGGUGGAGGAGGUCGCGGGGAAAGCGGACCGAAGGGAAAGAAAAAUCAGAAAGACCAUUAGGAUCUGUCCGGGUGCCUGAACUCUUCCUCCUUCCCUAAAGGACCCUACCAAGCCGGUGGCGGCGAGGACGCAAACACCAUUGAGGGGGCUUCCGUGGGUCCGCGGUCUCGCGCUCCGCCGUGCAGAACGAACUGUUAGUGGGCGCUACUGAUCGCGCCGCGCUCGCGGCCUCGCCCCAUUCACACGGCCCCGCGUAAUGAAUUCGUCCAUUUAAAUACAUUACAGGAAUAUUGGAGAUUGCGGAGGACGUGACACUUGACCCUGCAACCCGAACCCCGCAGGGGCAGCCGCCGCCUUGCAAAGUAGCAGUCCCCGAGCAGCGCCGCGCGGCGGUGGCCGGCCAAGCCCUCCGGGAGCUCUCCGGGUCCCCUUCCUCGCCCCCACCCCCGCCUUGCUCGCAGCUUGCCUCUGUCGACCCCUUCCCGCAGCCGCGUUUCAAUCAAACUCACUGAGACGGCACCGAGCGGGCGCCGGGGACAAGAAACGCCUCGCCAGCGACAACGCGCGAACAAGCGGAGCCGCGGGCCCCGGCGCCUCCGCCCACACGCGCCCCGCGUGCUGAAACCCGCACCUGGCCCACGGGUAGCCGGAAAAGCCGGGUCCCGGCCCGCCCGCCGGGCCGCCCCUGCUCCCGCUCCCCCAGCUCCAAGCGCUGCGGCUCAGAAACCCACCCGCCCGGCCCAGCCCCCGCCGGAGCCCUGCACCUUGGGGAGCCGGAGGCUGGGGAGGGGACCAGAGAAGGGGAAGAAGGGGCAUCGCCCUUCUUCCUACCCUGGGACAGCGCCUGGACUGGAGCUGGGUGCCGAGGAAACGACGGGAAGAGCUGACAGAGAGGCGGAGGGAGAAAAGAAAGGAAAAGAGGCAGAGACGAGGAAGGGAAGAAAGGGAUCCGAAGUGACCCGCCCUCGGGCCUCCGCGCCGGUGAUGCCCCGCGCCCAGGGCGAGGCCGUGCUUCGCGGGCAUGAGAAGCCAGGAGGCAGCGGAGUGCGGGUCUGGGGCACCGGGGACAUUGCCAAACAUAAUUGGGGUGCCAAACUGGGCUUCUUAAUCUCGAAGCCAGGAUGGGCGGGUGUGGCCGGGGGUGCGCGGGGUCAGCCAGCUUGGGGUGCUUUCCUUCGGGGCUCACACCGGCAGCGCGGACCGGCCGAGGCCGCUGGGACUGCAAGUCCGCCGCCUGCUUUUGUUCUGGGUUCUGCUGUAAUUUAACAUAAAACGCCUGUUAGAAUCACUGCUGCCGAAACACGCGUUUCUCCUUGUUUUGCCACCAACUAACAGGAUUAGGCAACAAGAGCGAGAUUUCAAAUUAACCAUAAAAAUGACAAAUUGCAAUUCAUUUAGCUGCCCACUUACUACAUUAAAAAACAUAAAUAAAUGAAUCUGCGUAUUCAGAGGGUUGAACGGCCCGCAAGGAAGCGAAAGCGGUUGAACUCAGGCCUCCGGGUGGGAGUCAGGGCUGUGGCGCUGGCGAGAGCGGGCCGCCGCGGAAUUCGCACCGUCUUCCAAGGGCCCGGAAAGAGGC
Molecule: long non-coding RNA, 2918 nt
Filed under: Homo sapiens (human)
Lineage: Eukaryota; Metazoa; Chordata; Mammalia; Primates; Hominidae
Description: HSALNT0131283
Source: RNAcentral